GACGAACGCUGGCGGCGUGCUUAACACAUGCCAGUCGAACGGAAAGGCCCUGCUUGCAGGGUACUCGAGUGGCGAACGGGUGAGUAACACGUGGGGGAUCUGCCCUGCACUUCGGGAUAAGCCUGGGAAACUGGGUCUAAUACCGGAUAGGAGCCAUUUUUAGUGUGAUGGUUGGAAAGUUUUUUGGGUGUAGGAUGAGCGCGCGGCCUAUCAGCUUGUUGGUGGGGUAAUGGCCUACCAAGGCGGCGACGGGCAGCCGGCCUGCGGGGGUGGACAGCCACAUUGGGACUAAUAAGGCGCCCAGUCCACUCAGGGGGGCGGCAGGGGGGAAAUGGGCAAAGUGGGAGCGAGCCAAAGGCGGCCACCCCGUGGGGGGAGUGAGGGCUUACGGGUGGAAUUCUAAUUUCGAUAGGAAGAAAACUUUGUGGAGCGAGCCCGAGAAAAGAGGAACGGCCAAGCGGCGU
Molecule: ribosomal RNA, 464 nt
Filed under: uncultured bacterium
Lineage: Bacteria
Description: partial 16S ribosomal RNA
Rfam family: Bacterial small subunit ribosomal RNA
Source: RNAcentral